GGAGCAUUGCUAUGUUGGUGAGCGUGCCACCAGAUACUUGACAUGGAGAAUCAAAACUAUACAGAGAGGCAUUGCUAAAGAACAAGGAGUAUCAUUUGAAGGAAAAGGAUUGUCUUGUCAAGGCCAGAAAAGGUGUCUACAUCUCAAGUGGGGAUUAUCUUGUCUUCUAGAAGAGUGAAACAAGCAUUGAGGAGCAUCUUCAAGACAUCGCUGGAAGUGCUCAGUCCUAUCACCUGGCUGUUGAAACGGAGAAUUCAGUUCACCAGUUCUUCAUUCUUGAUCAGCAUGUCAUUCCAUGCAAGUCAGCCUCUUCUUUUGUUGCCUUUUGAUGAAAUGUUUUAAUGGGAUUAUGUUUAAUGGGUUUAAUUCACCUAAAAAUGAGAAUUCUGUCAUUAACUCUCCCUCAUGCCGUUCCAAACCCGUAAGACCUUCGUUCAUCUUUGAAACAACAAUGAAGAUAUUUUAAUGAAAUCUGAAAGUUUUCUGUCCCUCUGUUGACAGUUUACACAACUAGCACAUUCAAGGCCCCGACAGGUAGUAAUGAGACAUUAAAGUAAUCCAUGUUACUCUGUUGGUUUAACCUCAACUUUAUACACGCAUUCACACAACGACUGCUUUCAUUUCAGCAAAUCACUCAUGCGUCGUGGUGCUCUCAUGUACGCAAGUCCGGUUUUGCGUUGCUUCAUAAAACUGAAGUUAAAUCAACAGAGUCACAUGGGUAACUUUAAUGAUGUCUUUACUGCCUUUCUGCACCUUGAAAG
Megalobrama amblycephala (Wuchang bream) is the source of this 761-nucleotide long non-coding RNA. RefSeq lists it as uncharacterized. NCBI's taxonomy places the organism in Eukaryota, Metazoa, Chordata, Actinopteri, Cypriniformes, Xenocyprididae. The transcript has 3 exons. The record is from RefSeq and is a predicted model, not a curated record.